CCUCGGGAGGCAGCAGUGAGGAAUAUUGGUCAAUGGCCGAGAGGCUGAACCAGCCAAGUCGCGUGAGGGAAGAAUGUCCUAUGGAUUGUAAACCUCUUUUGUCAGGGAGCAAAGUCACCCACGUGUGGGUGUUGGAGAGUACCUGAAGAAAAAGCAUCGGCUAACUCCGUGCCAGCAGCCGCGGUAAUACGGAGGAUGCGAGCGUUAUCCGGAUUUAUUGGGGUUAAAGGGUGCGUAGGCGGGAUGCCAAGUCAGCGGUAAAAAUGCGGUGCUCAACGCCGUCGAGCCGUUGAAACUGGCGUUCUUGAGUGGGCGAGAAGUAUGCGGAAUGCGUGGUGUAGCGGUGAAAUGCAUAGAUAUCACGCAGAACUCCGAUUGCGAAGGCAGCAUACCGGCGCCCUACUGACGCUGAGGCACGAAAGCGUGGGUAUCGAACAGGAUUAGAUACCCGAGUAGUC
RNAcentral lists this ribosomal RNA (458 nucleotides) under uncultured bacterium. RNAcentral describes it as "partial 16S ribosomal RNA". It matches the Rfam family "Bacterial small subunit ribosomal RNA", at positions 339 to 795 of the family's 1533-position model. The record is from RNAcentral.